GGUUCGAUUCUGGNNAGGNCGNNCGCUGGCGGCACGCUUAACACAUGCAAGUCGAACGAGAGAAGAGAAGCUUGCUUUUCUGAUCUAGUGGCGGACGGGUGAGUAACACGUGAGCAAUCUGCCUUUCAGAGGGGGAUACCGAUUGGAAACGAUCGUUAAUACCGCAUAACAUAAUUGAACCGCAUGAUUUGAUUAUCAAAGAUUUAUCGCUGAAAGAUGAGCUCGCGUCUGAUUAGCUAGUUGGUAAGGUAACGGCUUACCAAGGCGACGAUCAGUAGCCGGACUGAGAGGUUGAUCGGCCACAUUGGGACUGAGACACGGCCCAGACUCCUACGGGAGGCAGCAGUGGGGAAUAUUGCACAAUGGAGGAAACUCUGAUGCAGCGAUGCCGCGUGAGGGAAGAAGGUUUUAGGAUUGUAAACCUCUGUCUUCAGGGACGAAAAAUGACGGUACCUGAGGAGGAAGCUCCGGCUAACUACGUGCCAGCAGCCGCGGUAAUACGUAGGGAGCGAGCGUUGUCCGGAAUUACUGGGUGUAAAGGGAGCGUAGGCGGGAUCGCAAGUCAGAUGUGAAAACUGUGGGCUUAACCCAUAAACUGCAUUUGAAACUGUGGUUCUUGAGUGAAGUAGAGGUAAGCGGAAUUCCUAGUGUAGCGGUGAAAUGCGUAGAUAUUAGGAGGAACAUCAGUGGCGAAGGCGGCUUACUGGGCUUUAACUGACGCUGAGGCUCGAAAGCGUGGGGGGCAAACAGGAUUAGAUACCCUGGUAGUCCACGCCGUAAACGAUGAUUACUAGGUGUGGGGGGACUGACCCCUUCCGUGCCGCAGCAAACGCAAUAAGUAAUCCACCUGGGGAGUACGACCGCAAGGUUGAAACUCAAAGGAAUUGACGGGGGCCCGCACAAGCAGUGGAGUAUGUGGAUUAAUUCGAAGCAACGCGAAGAACCUUACCAGGUCUUGACAUCGUAUGCAUAGCUCAGAGAUGAGUGAAAUCUCUUCGGAGACAUAUAGACAGGUGGUGCAUGGUUGUCGUCAGCUCGUGUCGUGAGAUGUUGGGUUAAGUCCCGCAACGAGCGCAACCCUUACUGUUAGUUGCUACGCAAGAGCACUCUAGCAGGACUGCCGUUGACAAAACGGAGGAAGGUGGGGAUGACGUCAAAUCAUCAUGCCCCUUAUGACCUGGGCCUCACACGUACUACAAUGGCUGUCAACAGAGGGAAGCAAAGCCGCGAGGUGGAGCAAACCCCUAAAAGCAGUCUUAGUUCGGAUUGUAGGCUGCAACCCGCCUACAUGAAGUCGGAAUUGCUAGUAAUCGCAGAUCAGCAUGCUGCGGUGAAUACGUUCCCGGGCCUUGUACACACCGCCCGUCACGCCAUGGGAGUCGGUAACACCCGAAGCCUGUAGUCUAACCGCAAGGAGGACGCAGUCGAAGGUGGGNUUNNUNACUGGGGUGAAGUCGUAACAAGGUAC
Molecule: ribosomal RNA, 1468 nt
Filed under: uncultured bacterium
Lineage: Bacteria
Description: bacterial SSU rRNA
Rfam family: Bacterial small subunit ribosomal RNA
Source: RNAcentral